UGGACUUGCUCCUGAUGUUACGGCGGNGGGUGAGUACACGUGGGUACCUGCCUGUAAGACUGGGAUAACUCCGGGAAACCGGGGCUAAUACCGGAUGCUUGUUUGAACCGCAUGGUUCAAACAUAAAAGGUGGCUUCGGCUACCACUUACAGAUGGACCCGCGGCGCAUUAGCUAGUUGGUGAGGUAACGGCUCACCAAGGCAACGAUGCGUAGCCGACCUGAGAGGGUGAUCGGCCACACUGGGACUGAGACACGGCCCAGACUCCUACGGGAGGCAGCAGUAGGGAAUCUUCCGCAAUGGACGAAAGUCUGACGGAGCAACGCCGCGUGAGUGAUGAAGGUUUUCGGAUCGUAAAGCUCUGUUGUUAGGGAAGAACAAGUACCGUUCGAAUAGGGCGGUACCUUGACGGUACCUAACCAGAAAGCCACGGCUAACUACGUGCCAGCAGCCGCGGUAAUACGUANGUGGCAAGCGUUGUCGA
RNAcentral lists this ribosomal RNA (483 nucleotides) under Bacillus subtilis. RNAcentral's name for it is "bacterial SSU rRNA". It matches the Rfam family "Bacterial small subunit ribosomal RNA", at positions 75 to 545 of the family's 1533-position model. Lineage: Bacteria; Bacillati; Bacillota; Bacilli; Caryophanales; Bacillaceae. The record is from RNAcentral.